Non-coding RNA from Kogia breviceps (pygmy sperm whale), 420 nucleotides. NCBI's taxonomy places the organism in Eukaryota, Metazoa, Chordata, Mammalia, Artiodactyla, Physeteridae. The record is from RefSeq and is a predicted model, not a curated record.
CAGCGGGGCCCGGAACGUGCGCCGCCCGGGCCGAGGAGGGGACUGGCCGAGCUGGUGGAGGAGAGCAGGAAAACGUGGGGGAGGUGCUGGCGAGAGAAAGACAACUUGCGUGAGGAGGAGGAGGAGAAACCAAAUUUAACAUUUGGCGUGGAAAUGGGAUUUUUUUUUUUUUUUUUUGCAUCCUCCAAGCAAGUAAAGUGAAAUCAAUCAACAUUAUCCUCUCUCCCCUCAGCAAGUGAGGAUUACUUUCUCCUUGGGUAAAGGAAGAGAACUGAAGCAGGCAGAAAAUGUGGCUAAAUGAUUACAGCUCUGCAGCAACCGGUGUCUCCCACCCCCAUGAAGGAACACUUUUUAAUUGAAUGGACCACCGAAUCUAUUUUUAAAGGCAAGACAGCAAGAAUGAGGGACAGGAAACAGAGG